GGGGGGACGUGCCACCCACCGCCACCGGCGAGCCCCCGCCGCCGCCCCCCGCGCAACCCCCGCGCCCCGCGGAAGCGCCACCGCACCUCCCCCCUUCCCGCGUCCCCCCACCCCACCCCGCCGCUCCGGGCCGCCGCCUCACCCCGCGCCCCUCGCUGUCGGGGUGCCGCCGCCGCGGGCCCGCCGCUGCCGGGCUGGCCAAACUUUGCCAAACUUUUAGUUUUCCCUUCUUUUCCCUCUGCCCGGGUCCACCCCCCGCUCCCCCCGUGCCGGUGUCGGUCGAGGAGGCGGCGGCGGCGGGCAGGGGAGCGGAGCGGGGCCGGCGGCCGGCAGCGGCGCGGCGGCAGGUGUGAGCCCGCGCCGGCCGGGAAGCUCCGGCAGCGGCAGCGCCCGGCGGAGCUCCGCGCCUCCGCCCGCCCGGAGGUCAGCACCGUCGGCCUCGGUAAUCAGCGCGGCGGGUGGCCCCGGUACGGCCCCGUGUGCCCCCCCCAACCCGUCCCCGAGGAGCGACGCCGAAGGAGCGGGACCGACUCACUCAUGGGAGCGCGGCGGGCGAGGCCGGCGACACCUCCGGCUUCCGAGGCGCCGGCGAAGUUAAUUGCACUGAAGUUCAAGUUGUCUUUUCACCCAUCAGGAGUGGGCGUUUAAAGGAAGGAGAGCGAGGAGGAGGAGGGGGAGGGGGAAGGGGGAGAGUCGCUCUCGCUCUCGCUCGCUCUCGCACACACACACACACACACACACGCGCGCACACGCGUGCACACGCAUGCACGCGCGCACACACACGCACACACAGGCACACACAAACACACCCGCCCGCUCGGCUCCGCUCCCGAGCUGCCUCAGCAAGGAGGAGCCCGGACGGAAAACACCCGGGCAGCAAGGAGACUGAGAAGAGAGGGGACCCUGGAUGUCAGUCCAUUCUCCGUUUUUUGUUUGUCUUGACUUUGAGGCAGAUUUCCUCUUUCAGCUCUGGAAACUGACAGGUGAAGGAAGUAUAUCAUUCUGACACCUGAAAAGUCCAGGAUCUCUCUAGAAAAUGAUGGAGCUUCUCUCAUCACCAAUUUUCUAUAGCCAAAGAAGCCCCAGCUACCUACUGUGUGGGAGGAGAGGCUCUAAACCAUAAACAGGCCAAUAAUACGUCACACCAUCUGAUUGCAAUGAAUGCGAAAGUAAAAGAUGGUUGGAACGGUGCCGGCGAAAGGUUGUUUCAGCUGGAGCAGAGGAGAGAAGGUUGUCCAACAUGUUUGAAACCACAGCUUGAUCCACAGUCUAUUGAGGCCAGUAAGGGUCUUCCCUUGGCAUCUGAAGGCUUUUGAUCAGUUGUGUCAGUUCCUCAAGACAAAGACCCUAAUCUUUGAGUUUAUCAGUGCGUGGUUUACAUUGGUGUAGCACUCAGUAAAUGAGGUGAGUUUGCUGGGUCAGGGACAGACAACCUGUUGCAAGUUCAUAACUGUUCUUAACUGCAUAGUGAAGACUGCUCAGAUCAUGGUUGUACAAAUAUGGCGAGCGAAUGAUAAGUGAAAUUCAGGCUCCGAAACUAUGCAGUUAAUUUCCAUUCCGGAGAACUAAGAGAAUCCAGCAAGAAGGGGUUCUCAGGUACUGAGGUGACCAACACUUCUAAAAUACACCAGCAUGCAAGCUUUUGCUGAGCAAAUUAUAAACUUCCACGCUAUUGCAGAAUGACUGUCAGUUCCUGCCUCAUAAAACCUAAACGUAAUUUUUUUCAAAGAGUUAAUCAAAGUACACCACCAAGAAUAAGUCACUUCAGGAAUUACCAUCAACGAACUCAUUUGAACCUAGCCCAGCUGCUGCCUGAAGCUUCAAACAGAUAUACCACUUAUUCCUGGCACUCUCCCGUUCCUCAUUGUCCAUCACAUCUCACUGGAAAAUGGGGAGAGCAACUGUUACAGCUACAGAGAAGUCUGCAGAAGGGUUGACAUCAAAGAUGUGUUUUUCCUUUCUCAGUGUGUUAAUUUUCUUUUCACUUUUACAAACAGUGGCUGGUAUAUGUUUUGGAAGGCUUGUGCUUCUGGCUUGAUUUUACACCACCUAUUGUUAAAGGCCAAUUGGUAUUACACUGAAAUAGUAGGUUUGGUUUAUUUAUUUAGAAUAUCUCUUUUUCUUUUGGAAUUUUUCUGUUAAAUGAAAAUCUCUUUGCCCACAGAUGAGCCGUAGUAACUUUCACUGGGAAAGUAGCUUUCUGUCAGUAUUUUUUUGUAUAUCUUCUCUUUAAAAAAAAGUGUCAUGAAAAGAGCUGUAAAACCUGCCAUUGCUUGCAAAGAAAAGAAAUUGUAAUCAAUUCCUACAACAGAGUAACAAUUCUUUAAUAUUUGCAGUAUUCAGUAGGAGUUCAUUAGUGUAACAACAGCACAUCCCGUGAAUCACACUUUAACGUUGUUGAAGCUUUUUAUAGUAAAAUAGAUUAAGGGUGGAGAAUUCAUGUAAAGGGACAAGAAUGUAACUCACACAUUAGUCAGUGAUUGUGAAUCAAAAUUAUUCUGGGUAAUUAAGUAAGCCUGAAGGUGUUUAAGUACACUAAAAGAGAGCCAAUACAGCGUAAAAUACUUUUGGGCUAAAGAAAGCAUAAAUCACAGCAACUUACCCUAGAUUUCGACUCAGCCACUGCUUAAGUUACAUACUGUGUAAAUCCAUAAAGCCAGCUACUACAGGCUCUCAGUUUGUUGAAUGUUUUAAUUAAGGGGAUUUUGUCAAGGUAUUUCUCAUUAUUAGGAGAAUAUUGUAUACAAAACGACUAGAGAUGGGUGAAUUCAUUUUACCUCAUUACAAGCCCAUUCAAAGACCAUCUCUAAUCAUGAAAUAUUAUUAGCUUCUUGUUUUUUUCAGAAGAUGAUCACAUGGAAUAAUAUCUAAUGAUAAAAUAAGGGAAAUAGAAGAAAGCAGCAUAGGAAAACAACUACGAACAUAGUGUGAAGAAUGGAUUAGAUAGCAUGGAAAGAGGAUCUGAAAGAAAAACUAGUAAUACCUCCUGCCCAUGGUCCAAAGAAAUAUCUGACAUGUUGGGUAGCUAUGUGUUAUUUUCUGACCUGCUAAGUAAGGUUUAAAUUACAUCAAAGAAAUGUCUGCAAAGUCAAGCUAGCUCUGUAAAACCUGUGGAUCAUAAGAAUAAUGUAAGAUGUUCACAGACAUUGAGUUUGCUCAAGACUGAUGAUAAUCCCUUGUGAAAUGCAAACUGAAAUUUGUUUUUCUACCAAAACAAGGCCUUUUUCUUCUCCCUCUUCCCAUUCACAGACACAGGCACGUUGUUGGCUUGUUAUUGUAGUUUAUGAAUGUUGGCCUUUAUUCUUGUGAAAUUAGUAUUAUCAACUUCAUUUGACAAAAUGUAAAAUUCUAUGUAAAGCUGACAGACUUGGAAAAAGUAGUAGAAACUAAAAGGAGAUAAACAUAGCUUUAUGAAACUGUGUUUUCUUAAAUAGUUCUUUUACUCUGAAGGGCUACAUAAUUACACCAAGCCAUAUGUGUGUCUUUUUUUUCUUUAAUAUAUAUUCUUGAAACUGGACAAGUGCUAAUAGCACCACUCAGGAGAAUGACAUCUAUCAUCUAGAAAGUUCUCAUUAUAGCUUACUUUAUCAGUUCAAUGAUGAAAAAAAAAAAA
RNAcentral lists this long non-coding RNA (3613 nucleotides) under Strigops habroptila (Kakapo). RNAcentral describes it as "lncRNA (ENSSHBG00005002105.1)". Lineage: Eukaryota; Metazoa; Chordata; Aves; Psittaciformes; Psittacidae. The record is from RNAcentral.